UUUAUUCCAGUCAACUUUAAAUAAGAGUCAUCACAAAGGCGAAAAAUGAAGAUUUGAAUGAAAGUGGCCUGUGGAGGUCAAGUUAGAAUUAUUGCUUCUGACAGAAAAGAGAGCAUACUUUAAGGCUGACUUCAUGCCAGGGAUAUCUCCGUACUCAUCAGUAAUUCGUUCUGGAAGAUGCAAUGAAUACUAAAACCGAUGAGUACUAAGAAAACCAAAUGACCCGCUAUUUCAGCUGGAAGAAAUAGUGAGUCAUGAGACAGCCGACGGCAGCAAGUUCUUUCUUGUGUUUCAACUAUGGGGAGAAUGACAAUUGCUGGGACAAGAUUUCUCCUUCAAAACACGUCAUAUACCAAAUUCAACGACUUUUGAAAUGGAGUAUUGAGGGAUGCAGUGUCGCAGUGGCUUAAUGAUGGUGAAACUGCCAGCCAGAAAUGGUCUGCACUAGGUUCAAGCCUAGCUCGGAGAUACAAUGAGCCCCCAUCACUCAAUCCCUAGCUCCUGCCCACCCAGCAGUACAAAAGCACGCAAUAUUGUGAGUAGACAAAUGAGUUACCACUUUGGUGGGAAAAACCCACCAAACUGCGUUCAUGUAUGUGAAGAGCGGAAGCUGGAGCUGGACCUCAUCAGACGUGAGGCAUUGUGACAUGAAGUGAAGUGAGGCAAGAUCGGUGGAGAAGCCCAGAAGAGCAAGCAACCCGAGUACUGCUAGUUACCUGGUGUAUGCUAGUUUGCCCCCUGUGGUGCACCAAGGAUAGAACAGAAUGAAUUCGCAAUUUAGGCUGUCCAAACUGCGUUGUGUGUCUAGCAUGUAGAGAUUUCCCUGGCACUAUAUACCGUAUGUGAAAUAAAUAACUUCAUUUUCUUAAAAAAAUAUUCUGUAAAAAAAUGUGGGGCCAGGAUUCGUAUCAUAAAGGAGACACAAUGGUAAAAAACUGUGUUUUUCUAUGUCUCCUGUAUCUUCAAUUAAUCAUCAACUACACGAACCUGGGGGAGAAAAAGUAUCAGUUUAAUGUCAAAUUUUCAAAAUGAUAGUCUGCUCCCUUCAGAAGAAAUUCGGUCUCCAGAUCUCUUUCCUAGGCCAAGUUCCUAUGAGAAAAGAGUAUUUGUUGCCUGGAAUUAACUGCUACUGCCUACAAGAUAUACUUCACGCUAUGGGAUUCUUGACCCCACAUGUUACAAUUUCUAAAACAUGGUGGGAUGCUUAUUUUUGUUUACAGUAGAGCACUGUGUCCCUGGGAGUUUUCCAGAAAUGUAAAAAUUUGCCUAGUAGAUAAAUUCAGCUUGCUACAUUGAAAUAAACAGCCUAUUUGAUGGCAUUCAUUUAGUUUUAAAUCUAUUUAAACUCUGGGAUAGCUUCCAGCCAAAAAACCCUGGGGACUUCCGUUUUGUGGCAUAAAUAGUGAGAACAUUAUUUACAAGGAAAUCUUAUCUCAAACGAUUUCCCACAUUCUCAAUGGGAAGUGAAAGCUAUUAAAUCAGUGUGGCAACCAAUAUACACAAACUUAUCAUAGUCAUUUUUAAAAGAAAUUAUGCUUUAGCCCAGAGGAGCCCAACGCUGUUAUGACAGCUGGCCUGGUAUAGUAUUUAAAGUUGCUGGACUAGGAGCAGGGAAACCUGAGGUUUCAUCUUCACUCAACCACAGAAACUCACUGGAUAAUAUUUGGCCUCUCCGUUUGUCUUAGUCCAAUGUACUUCCCAGGGUUGCUCUGGUUGGGAAAAACAGGUGGGAGAACCAUUUGCACCACCUUCAGCUCUUGAAGGAAAGGCAGAACAUGUCAAAUACCAAAUAAACACAUAACCCUGACUGGCAAACAAUAGAAUAGAAUAAAAGAAAAAAGAUUAACUUAAUUGCAAUGAGAAAGGAGGGUGAAGAAAAGAAGCUUCCUUUCUUUCUGAACUAUACCUUUCCCACCCUCCCACCCACCUUUCAGCCAUACCUCUACAGUUCAGAGAGAAAUAGUGAUUGCUUGCCAACUCCACCUCUGUCAACAUGAAAGUGUAUUCAAGGAAAGCUGCGAUGAGUAAUGCUACAAAAAAGAAAAAUCUUUUUUUCCCCUUGUUCCUUGUAGAAGUUGGCAAGAAAGAUGUCUACAGCCUUAUUAAGAACUGAAAGAUACCUAGAGUGGCAGCUGUCCUGGUAACCACAGCGCUCUCAUUGAACCAGAAAUAGACACUGAAACAACUGUGAAAGGUGGGCACACAGCAUUGGUGAACAAGGCUCAAGCAACACAUGAACACUGACAGCAGGUGAAGAGGCCAGAGUACGCACAGAAAAAGCUGAGCUCUAUCAGAACCAGCAAAACAGUAACCGUGUAAUGAAGUCAACAAUAUAUCUCCAGCAGCAAAAGGAGAAGCAAAAAGAAAGCAAAAAAGACUGAAUUAAGACAAUUAAGCAGGAGAAAAAAAUAUGUGCUUAGAUGCAGUUUAAGAAUUUGUCUUGAUUUAGCUAUAUGAUUUUACAAAGUUUCUACUCUCCUUAGGAGCUUUCGCUCCCAGGGGUCAGUUUUCAUUGGUUUAACAUCUGAAGUGCAUCUAUUGAUAUUUACAUUAUUAAAGAUGUGGGAUCUUUGUUUCCAGUUCCAGGUCUAUAUCACAUUUGAGAUCAAUACUCUGCACCUGUUUUUUUCCCCAGUGCUGGUACUGAGGUUUGGUUUCUCAGCAUAGGAAACACCAGGUUAAUUAACUUGAUUCACUUCUGAAGACUGCAUUCUAAUGUGGACCAUUAUUAUACCAGCUAUAACAGAUAUACUAUUCAAAUCUAUUAUGUAGUCUCGGUUAAGAUUGAUACUGAAGUCUCAGCAUCAAUCAGGAGAGUAAUAGCAUUAGUAUAUUGUCAGUUUGAGACCAUCUUUGUUUUCUAUCAGAUUCAAAAAGUACUAUAAAAGAACCGUUCUUUCAACUUGGCUGGAUUCAAGCAACAUCCUAAAUCAUACACAAUGGUUUGUGAAUUACAAUUGCUAAGAUUAUAUAGCAUACUGUAUUAAACACUUAGUGUGAUAUAUAAGAAAAGGAUAUACAAUGUUGCUUCCCAACACUUGGUCUGUGGACCGGCAGCAGGCUUUGACAUGCCAUAAAUUGGACCAUGCAAAGAAGCAAAACCCCAUCCACAGGAUGCAGGCAGAAAUAGCGAAACCAUGCCCACUCCAGUCCACGCAAAAACCUUUCUCCACAGAACCCCCAAAAGGUUGGGGGCCACUAUAAUGCAAUUGUCUAUUACAAACUGUCAAAACAUCAGUUAUCAAGAUACUAAUGACAAAUUGGGAUUAGUGUCACAGUAAAGUAAGAAUGUCUUCCAAAUGUCCACACCUUUUUCACUAAGCAAAUAUUGUUUUGUCUUUGUAAACCAGGGGUAGUCAACCUUUUUAUACCUACUGCCCACUUUUGUAUCUGUUAGUAGUAAAAUUUUCUAACUGCCCACCGGUUCCACAGUAAAGCGCUGUGUAUCGUCGUCUGCACAUGCCUCUCGCGCAUCAUGGAUUGGGUUGGGGGGGGCACAGGCUACCAGCUCUGCUCGUCUAUUACAGCUGGGUGGUGUGGGGGGAGAUGCGCAAGCUAUUCUGGGACAGGCUCUUUUAUUUGCGGUCGCACUAUAGCGCCAUUUAGUAUCACUUACAUAACAUGAACUAAACUUAUGCGCGGGAGAUACAAAUAGUAUAUUUUCAGAAAUUUAAAUUGUCACAGGGAAUUUUAUGAAAACCUAAUGAAAAUGUUUUUAAAUAAUGCUGUGAAUUUUUUAAAAAAAGUCAAUUAAAUUAAAAAAAGGAAAGUGCUUCAGUAUCAGACAAAACCCCUACCGCCCACCCUGAGAGGUGGAACGCCCACUAGUGGGCAGUAGGGACCAGGUUGACUACCACUGUUGUAAACUGUAGUUGAAAUUGAUUUUAUUCCACAACUAUGAGCAUAUGAUUUUUGCUAUUUGGCGGAUUUCACUGUUCUUUUGCAUAAGCCUUAGCUCCUUUGGCCUGGGAAUGUUAACAAUAAAAGGUGAGACAUAAAUGUCAUAACAGAAAGAGGGGGUCCCUUUCAUUUCUCUAGUAAAACAUAUUUCUAUAAAUAGCCUGAUCAAGUUUCAUUUUAUAAUAAUAAUAAUAAUGUUAGAUAUAAAUACUGAGUUCAAUAUUCAGUCUGAAGUAAGAAUGCCAUCUGCUGGAUACUAGUAUUUCAAGGCUAACUUGUUCUGACCCAGUUUUGUUUACAAGAUUGGGCAUGACCAAAUGUGCAAGAACCAACAAAAAACAGAAGCAAUUAUCUGGAUAACUGGAAUACAGUUUUAUGUUUUAAAAAAUGGAAGUUGAAUCAUUAAAGUUAAAUUGCUGUUAAAACUGAAUUGUUAAAUAAACUACUUUUUGGGCAAUGGAUUCUCAAAAGCUGCUUUAGUUACAGGAAAACUAAAAAAAAAAGCAUGAUGUAACAAAAGAAGUGAAAGAGGAAAUUCCAACUAAACUAACUUAAAACUACCUGACUGGAAAAAGUGAACAGCAUGAUGAUAUGUACAUAUAUAUGUCACAACUGAGUUUAUAAGUAAACAAGCAUAAAUAUAUUUAUCUGUAAAGAAAACCCCUUGAUUCCAAGACUGAAGCUAACUUUGGGAAGCUUUAUGCUAGCUUCCUUCCACUCAGUUACUGGGUUAUGAUUAAGUACUGCUGCAUCUGCCAAACUGUUUUAUUUGCCAAAAUAAUGCUGACAUUUGCAAUUACCCAUAAUACAGUAACUCACAUUUUUUCUGCUCUACUCAGAGGGAUUUUUUUGUUAUAUCUUCUGGUAAAGGAAACACACACAGAUACAACCUGCUACACUUUACAGGAAUUUUUAAGUAAAAUAUUUUGUUUUCCUAGUAUGUUCAAAAGACAUUAAGGAAGAAUGUGGAAAGUAAAACACUCAGCUGUUAGGAUUUCUAUCUAAAUCAAGUGCUGAAAACCAGAGUUAAGCAAGAUUCACUCCUUCUGUUGUAAUAUUACUGUAACUCAUAUUCUUUGUCACAUGUAAGAUGGGAAGACACAAUUGUCAAGUUUUCUAUCUAAUUCAUAACACUGAAUAUCUAAGUAGUUAAUAAUACAGUAAUUAUACAAAAGAUAUUUCGUAUCUGAAUUACCUAGAGCUACUUAUAUGUUGUAUCUUCCAUAAGAUUCUGUUAUAGCUAAAAACACAAGCAGACUAAAUAUUUUAUCUCGGCUUGCAUCAAUGUAUGGAAUACAGGCACUCCUCAAUUUACAACCAUAUGGAGCCUGCUCAUUACAGUUAUAAAUCAUGACAACCAUAAAGCAGGAGCUGUGACUGGAUCUGUUUUUACAAUCUUUUGGUUGUAUUAUCAUUAAGUGAACACUGUGGUCACUGUGAACUCAUUGUUCGUUAUGGGCCAUUUCUGCAGAAAACUGGAAGUAAACAUUGGUUUUCAGCAAAAACAUCGUAAAUUAUGAUCACGUGAUAGAAGGAUGCGAGAAACAGCAACAAAUGCAGGCUUCUUGUCAAUCACCCGAAAUGUGGUCACAUGACCCCAGGUGCUGGCCAUCCUAACUUCAAAGCCAGGUUAUAAAUGCCUUUUUGAUAGGGCAUCCUAUCUUGGAACAGUUGCUAAAUGAUGAGCUGUUAAGUCAAAUACUACCAGUACUGUAACUCAUCUUUCAAAUGUAUCUCUGUUUUGCCACUUAGCAAUAAGAAAGUCUCAAAAAUGGAACAUAUCUUCAAAAAAGAGACUGUGACUUAAAAGAGCCUUUUUUAGCUUAAUAAAGUUAAUAAUCUCAUAAAAUGAUUAAGAUAUGAAAGGCAUGACUUAUUCUGUUUGAAAAAUAAAUUGCAAAGUAGCUGCUUUUUCAACAAAGUGAUUGCAGUCCGCCCCCCGCCCAUAACUGAAAGGCUCACCAACAGCUCUGGUUUCAUCCAGUCAAAAAGAUCUUUUAUAGAUGAACAAGAUGCAAUGCUUGAGCAGAGUCUGGGUUGCUACACAUCUUCUUCAUGACCUGUUUUCCAUUCUAUCUUUUGUGAUAAUCAAAAACAAUCAUCAGUUGUUCCCCCAUGUUCAGAUUGGGAAACAACAUUCAACAUUAUCAACCACUAGACAACAAUUGACCUGCGGUGUCAUUGUUUCAAAGGUAUUUCCUUACCACAUCCCUCCAAAUCUUCAAUUAAUUGCUGCCAGCUUCCCACAGGACUGAAAAGAGCCAGACACAUAAGAACAAUGGGAGAAUUCUAGUGUACUGCCUUCACUGGAAAGGUUGUUAAAAAUUCAGAGAUAAAUCUGCCUUGAAAGUAAUAUUAACUGUAUAGCACAAACAUCAGGAAUUGACCAAAUGAAAAGUUUUAUGACAUUUUGUAUUAUGUUAUAAAAUGUUUUAUAAUUUUUAUACCUUAAUAUGUUUUACAAAAUUUGUCAAAUUUCAGUUCCACUGGUCAUGAAUUUAGGAUUUUGGAUAAAUUCUUUAAGUUAGCACAUUUGAAGUAGUGCAAAAAUUAUUGCCCUAUGAUGCAUUGAUUUUGCCAUUAAAAGUUACACACAAACAGGUGAGUUUUAGCAAUAUACAGAUUGGUAGAAUCCCAUUACUUACAAGAUAAGAUCACAAAAUCAUAAUCUAUACUUUUAUAUAUAUAUAUGUGUAAGUUUAGGAGCAACUUUCCCAAUAUGAUUUUUCAUAUCUAUCAAGAAACUUGAUUUUGGGACGUGAUUCACUACAAAACUCUCUUUAAUUAAUUAUUGUUAUUCCAUAUAUACAGCAUUAGACUCUUUUUGUGACUUUUAAGAAAAAUUCUUUUAUUUCCAAAUAAUUAAAAACCCUCCCCCAUAUUUUAAACACAACAAACUGUUUUACAUUAAGCAUAUCAUUGAAUAUUCAUUUAUAUUGACAGGUUUAACAUUUCACCUUAAGCCAUGUUACAUUUAAUCAUGUUUUGAUGACUAAACCACAAUUGGCUGGGUUCCCUCAUUACUCUAAACUAAAACCAUAUGAAACACACUAAAGCACACUAUGUAAUGUCUUAGUGCAUUAAUCUGCAAACUGUUAAUCACAAUCUCCUGUGGGUUGUGAUAAAUUUGAGGAGUAUGAGAAUUUCUGGCUGGUCAGAAAGAUUGUACACAUGUGAGAGGGAAGACAGCACCUGCAUAGUUCCAAUUCCUAGGGAAAUCAAGAGGGAAGGAACUAGUAUCAUACACAAUGGGAAACAGUGCACUUCAGAACUGGGAUGAUAACGCAGCACCAAGUUCAAUAUGUUGGGUAGCUGCAAGUGAACCAACAUGCUUUCUUGGCUGCUUUUGCUGUUGUCAAGAAUCUUCUCAGGGCUUUUUUGCUAUCUGAUAUGCUACCUGUGGCCACCUGGCUUCCUAAUAGUAAGACUUCCACAGAACUCCAACCAGUUUGCUUCCAAAUAUGGAGAAAACGUCAGAUUCUAUCAUGCCUGGCCAUCUGGCAGCUGAAGCUUCUAGAAUGCAGUGUAAAAAUUCCACACAAAAUUCCAAUACUAUUCAUAUACAUACAAACAUUGUCAGUAUUAUUACUUUACAGAGACUGCAGCACUACAAAAUUUGAGAUUCCUUAAUGCCAUAAGCAAAUCUAAGCAGUGGCUAAAUAAGAUCACAAAAAGUGAAAUCCAAAUUAGAUUGCAUUUCUUUUGAGUUUUCUCAAAAUUUCUGUAAUAGUGGGAAGACUUCCGGUUGACGUUGCAGUGAGAAUGGCUGGAAAAUAGCAGGCUCCACUGAGCCCUGCAAAAACCAGCCAGCAACUGCUGUUGGGAGACCCUAUGGGGUCCAAGCCACCUUGUAGCGGCGAAGAAAGGAGAGGUGCUUCAUGGACCAUGAGGAACUCACAAUUUCCUCGUUAGGUCCGAAGCAAGCUCUCCUGAGUGGCAGCAGGGACGACAGCCAUUUUUAGCUAGUCACAAGCUGGGACCACAAGAUUUGUGCUGGAGCAAUCUGUGGACAGAGCAUUGAAGCUGGGUGAGAUAACUUCCAACUCUUACCUUAAAGACUUAAGUACAAGAACUUCAAAAAAAUACUCCAAAUGUUAAGGAAGCAGCGAAUAGACAGACUGAGAAGCUUAAAGACUGAAAAUUAAGAAGUGAAAGAAAUGCCCAAAGGAAGCUUUAAAAUAUAGAAAGCUGGGGAAAAAGCUUAAACAAUUUGAAAGAUGAUUUUUUGAAAAACUGUCUUUCUUAUUUGUAUGUUUAAGCCCCCUGGAUUUAUCAGAGAAUCAGCUGUUUUUGACAUACUGUUUAAUAGUUGGAAUUGGAAGUAGGAGAGCCAUCUACUGGAAGAAGAGGAGCAUUACAGCGGGAGAAUUUUCAAUGAAAGUGUAUUACCAUAUUUUUUGGAGUAUAAGACGCUCCGAACUAUAAGACGCACCUACCUUUUUUGGUGAGGAAAACAAGAAAAAGAAAUCUGCCUCUGCCUCCCAGCAAUUUUGCCUUGUUGCAGCAAACAGCAAAUAGCCUGCUUUACUUUCAUUUUCAUUUUCAUCAUAGCUUGAUUAGCACAAGAAAAAAAAAUCUGCUCCUAGCAAUUUAGCUCCUUGCAGCAAGCAGCAGAGGCCCGCACAGCAAUAGGCAAUGGCAAUCCCUGCAGCCUGAAACAGCUGAGUUGGGACACCAAUCCAACCGACAAUCAACUUGUGCUAAUUAGGCUGUGCUGAAGCUGAAAUGGCGAAUGGGCGGAGGCUCCGGGGAAAGGCCCGACUCUGUUUCUCCUCACUUGCAGUCACUCUUUUCCAAAAAAUAUGCUCAGACAAAAAAGUGUAGGAAGUUAGCACCCACCUUACUCCUACGAACAUGAGAAAUUUUAGAAAAUAUUAAAAGGGCAGAAUAUUUCCCCUACAAGGGAGGCAGAAACUCAGGAGGCCCCCCACCUUUGUCAAUGGGCCAUUAAGGCCUGGGCCAGUCUAUUCUACAUAACAAAGAUCUACCUCCUUUAGGCAGAGCCAUAGUAGGAAUUGCCCAAAGCCCUUUCAUUACAUCAUCACCCAGCAAGAGUCAACCAAGCCUGGGACUCAAAAGACAACCUACAAAGUUACCCUUGCAUUGGCCAAGAGGAGUCUGACAACCAAUCAGUACACAAGUUCAAAUUCAAAGCCCAACAGUGGGUAUAAAACCCAGGCACUCUCAGCAUCUCUUCCCUUUUCUGCCCAGGAUCUUAAGCCAUGUGAUCCUGUUCAUCAAUAAACCUUCUUUCCAAGCAACUUCCAUGUUUCCAGUGUCUUUCUCCACAUUUGGAACUGAACCCAGAUGGACGCUUCUUCCAAUAAUUGCUUAGUGCAAAUUAAACAACUGGAAAAGAAUUAAACCUGUCCAAGUUAAAUAUAUGUGCAAAACGGCAGUGCACUUAAAAUAAUUUAAGUGCUGUAAUGAAUAGCCACAAAUAGUAAACAAGUUUGAAAUACAUUUGACUUUUUAUGAUGAAGUCAUUAUUUAGAUAAGAUAGCUGUUAUUAACAAGUUUGAUACUAGUUCUCAAGCUUCUCUAUCCCCAGACUACUUUAAGUAUAUCAACCUAAAGGUUAGAGAUAAAAUGCCUAGGGAAGAAUACUUUUCCUACUAUUUCUGGGGAUUUUCAUCGAUUGCAUGCAUUCAUUCAUUCAGGAAAGAAUUGUGUUAUUUCGCUUAUAUGCAUUUUAUAUCUGAUUACAAAAACUAUGGAAAGUUAGUUUCAAAAUUAUUUUCUUUUCUGGAUGUGGAACUAAUUUAUAUGUUACUAUUUCUUCCAUGGAUCUUUUAAAGUAGUGUUUUAUACUUAGGUCUGGCUUAUAAAAUACAAAUCACAUGAAGGAGACAUAUAUAUUAUUUGCAGCAUUUAAAAUACAGAAUUUGCACUUAGGAAGGUUUGGUCC
This is a long non-coding RNA of Ahaetulla prasina, 9808 nucleotides long. RefSeq lists it as uncharacterized. The record is from RefSeq and is a predicted model, not a curated record. Lineage: Eukaryota; Metazoa; Chordata; Lepidosauria; Squamata; Colubridae. The transcript has 3 exons.